This 770-nucleotide ribosomal RNA is filed under the name uncultured bacterium. RNAcentral describes it as "bacterial SSU rRNA". It matches the Rfam family "Bacterial small subunit ribosomal RNA", at positions 1 to 782 of the family's 1533-position model. The record is from RNAcentral.
AGGGGUUUGAUCAUGGGGGCUCAGGAUGAACGCUGGCGGCGUGCCUAAUGCAUGCAAGUCGAGCGACGCACACCGGAGGGGUAACCCACUGGUAUGACGGAGCGGCGAACGGGUGAGUAACACGUGAGUAACCUGCCCCACAGACCGGGACAGCCCAGGGAAACCUGGAUUAAUACCGGAUACCCUCGGGGGAUCGCAUGAUCUUUCGAGGAAAUGCCUUUGUGCUGUGGGAUGGACUCGCGACUUAUCAGCUAGUUGGUGGGGUAACGGCCUACCAAGGCGUCGACGAGUAGCUGGUCUGAGAGGACGAUCAGCCACACUGGGACUGAGACACGGCCCAGACUCCUACGGGAGGCAGCAGCAGGGAAUCUUGCGCAAUGGGCGAAAGCCUGACGCAGCAACGCCGCGUGGGGGAUGAAGGCCUUCGGGUUGUAAACCCCUUUCAGGAGGGAAGAAAUUGACGGUACCUCCAAAAGAAGCACCGGCCAACUACGUGCCAGCAGCCGCGGUAAUACGUAGGGUGCGAGCGUUAUCCGGAAUCAUUGGGCGUAAAGAGCUCGUAGGCGGUUCAGCAAGUCGGCUGUGAAAUUUCGAGGCUCAACCUCGAAACUGCAGUCGAAACUGCUGUGACUCGAGUCCGGUAGAGGAGAAUGGAAUUCCCGGUGUAGCGGUGAAAUGCGCAGAUAUCGGGAGGAACACCAGUAGCGAGGGCGGUUCUCUGGGCCGGCACUGACGCUGAGGAGCGAAGCGUGGGUAGCAACAGGAUUAGA